This 498-nucleotide ribosomal RNA is filed under the name uncultured bacterium. Its description in RNAcentral is "bacterial SSU rRNA". It matches the Rfam family "Bacterial small subunit ribosomal RNA", at positions 8 to 518 of the family's 1533-position model. The record is from RNAcentral.
AGAGUUUGAUUAUGGCUCAGAACGAACGCUGGUGGCGUGUCUUAUACAUGCAAGUCGAGCGAGGCAGCAAUGCCGAGCGGCGAACGGGUGAGUAACGCGUAAGCAAUCUGCCCCAUAUCAGGAAAUACCCGUGCCAACGCGCGGUUAAUGUCCAGGAGAGUGGCCCUCUGCAUGGAGGGUUGACUAGAGAUUUGUCGGUAUGGGAUGAGCUUGCGUCCGAUUAGCUAGUUGGCGGGGCAACGGCCCACCAAGGCGACGAUCGGUAGCCGGCCUGAGAGGGUGAUCGGCCACAUUGGGACUGAGAUACGGCCCAGACUCCUACGGGAGGCAGCAGUAGGGAAUAUUGCACAAUGGGGGAAACCCUGAUGCAGCAACGCCACGUGUGGGAAGAAGCAUUUCGGUGUGUAAACCACUGUCAUGAGGGAAUAAGGCCCGCCUUCGGACGGGAUUGAAUGUACCUUGAGAGGAAGCACCGGCAAACUUCGUGCCAGCAGCCGC